Molecule: ribosomal RNA, 216 nt
Filed under: uncultured bacterium
Lineage: Bacteria
Description: partial 16S ribosomal RNA
Rfam family: Bacterial small subunit ribosomal RNA
Source: RNAcentral
GUCCCAGUUCGGAUUGUAGUCUGCAACCCGACUACAUGAAGCUGGAAUCGCUAGUAAUCGCGAAUCAGAAUGUCGCGGUGAAUACGUUCCCGGGUCUUGUACACACCGCCCGUCACACCAUGGGAGUCGGAAAUGCCCGAAGUCAGUGACCCAACCGUAAGGAGGGAGCUGCCGAAGGUGGAGCCGGUAACUGGGGUGAAGUCGUAACAAGGUAAC